RNAcentral lists this ribosomal RNA (451 nucleotides) under uncultured bacterium. Its description in RNAcentral is "SSU rRNA". It matches the Rfam family "Bacterial small subunit ribosomal RNA", at positions 26 to 518 of the family's 1533-position model. The record is from RNAcentral.
AGAACGAACGCUGGCGGCAGGCCUAACACAUGCAAGUCGAACGCGACCUUCGGGUCGAGUGGCGCACGGGUGAGUAACGCGUGGGAAUCUGCCCUGUGGUACGGAAUAACAUCGGGAAACUGGUGCUAAUACCGUAUAUCCCCUGAGGGGGAAAGAUUUAUCGCCAUGGGAGGAGCCCGCGUAGGAUUAGCUAGUUGGUGAGGUAACGGCUCACCAAGGCGACGAUCCUUAGCUGGUUUGAGAGGGCGACCGGCCACACUGGGACUGAGACACGGCCCAGACUCCUACGGGAGGCAGCAGUGGGGAAUAUUGCGCAAUGGGCGAAAGCCUGACGCAGCGACGCCGCGUGGGGGAUGAAGGCCUUCGGGUUGUAAACCCCUUUCAGCAGGGACGAAGCGAAAGUGACGGUACCUGCAGAAGAAGCGCCGGCUAACUACGCGCCAGCAGCCGC